CAUCGCGUUCCACAGAGCCCUCCAAGGGCUCUGGCGUUCCACUUAGUCCACAUGUCGGAAAAACAGGGAUGGGUUAACUCUAGCCAGGUUGGCCAUUGUUAGCACUACCAGUUGAUAGCAAUGCAUUUUGUGGUAUUUUGCACGUGCAAACGUAGCAACAUGUCCACAGAUAGAAGAUGGACAGUAGGCCUACUGUGUUUUCGGCUGAUUUAAUGAGAGAAAAAAAAUGCAGAAGUGCUAAAAACAGUAUAUUCAUAGAUAUAUGUUACUACUGUUGAUGCUCGGAGCAGCCAUGUUGGAUUUUAAGGUCGGUUGUGGUGCGGUUCUCCCGAAUUUCCGAGUGGGAAAUCCGACUUCAAGGGGUGUUCCAAAUAACAUUUCUGACCAGAAACCGUGCUUUCCAGUUCAACUGGAAUGCAGCAUCAAAACGCGCGUCGGUAACAAUCAAGGAUCUUGCGCCAUCUUGGAAUAUAUAAUUGAUUUACGCCUCUGAAAUCCUGGAUCAGCAAUCGAAGGCACCUCAACUCUGCCCCACUCUCCUCAGUCAGUUGGACGUUUUUCUGAAGAAAGGUGGCAAGACAGUAGCGACCCUUGUUCCAUUCAACUCCAAACUUCAACCAACACAGAUCUUGCUGUAAGGUGUUUAAGACCAGACCCACUACACAUGCAUGCACAAAGUUAACAGUCCCUUUCCCAAAACGUGACUUUAUAGCAGUUUGGAGGAGUAGAGAGCAGACAGCAAGAGGAGCUUUCUGUCAGAUGUGUGAAGGUACCAACAUACAGAUAAUACACUGCAGGGAGCAGAGCUUGUGUUGUUUUUUAUUCUAUUAUAGGUGAUUAUAUUCUAGUUCUAAAUGUAAUACAGAUAAUAUCUGUGGAUUACUGCAGAAGACUGAUUAGGAUUUCUAUGCAAUUUAUA
This is a long non-coding RNA of Perca flavescens (yellow perch), 919 nucleotides long. RefSeq lists it as uncharacterized. The record is from RefSeq and is a predicted model, not a curated record. Lineage: Eukaryota; Metazoa; Chordata; Actinopteri; Perciformes; Percidae. The transcript has 4 exons.